Molecule: long non-coding RNA, 623 nt
Organism: Gasterosteus aculeatus aculeatus (three-spined stickleback)
Lineage: Eukaryota; Metazoa; Chordata; Actinopteri; Perciformes; Gasterosteidae
Source: Ensembl
AGCAAUCUGAGAGGAGUCUGGCCGUAAACACGGAUUCUCUGUCUCAGUCUGCAGUAUAAGGAGUUGUCUUCAAGCUAUUUAAUAGGAGAUGUUUUAGUGCUGGUAGUUAAGUGUUGGAGAGUUAUGGGUUUGCAAAGAGGUGUUGCAUGAGAACGGAAAAACGUCGUGGCCGCGGAAAGCAGAGCAGCGUGGACGAGACUGACAGACACAGAAUGUUACACCACCGCAAAAUUGACUCAAGAGAACAAUGGAUUCCAGCAAAAGACGAAGCAGUUAGACCCAAACCCAAGUGAAAGACAACGUAAAGAAGAUAAAAAUAAGCCAGACACAUUGGAAGAGCCACAAGUUAAUAAACAGGCAUUCUUUGUAGAAUAAUAGUUGAAAUCAGCUUGUUUUGACUGUACCACAGUUGAACAUUUUCCAUUUUAUGGGUUAAACAUCUGCAACAAUCUUUUUUCAUUGUGGUUGUGUUGUAUGGUAUUCAUGGAAACCACACGCAAAGAAAGAAACUAGACUUUGGCAGGUUUCUCCUCAAAAUACAAUAAAGCUCAUCACAGUCACAGCACACUUUGUCCCCCUGAACCUGUUUUGCUGCCCCAUAGAAAAAUGUUGCUUAUGAAAUG